UUUUUAGAAGAAGGUGAAAAACACUUGAAACCAACGAUUCUUGUAAAGAGUCUCAAGUAUAGUGUAAAACAUUAAAGAAACAAACUCAAAACGUCCCAGAUCUGUACAAAUCUAGGAGGUACAGAAAAGAAAUUAGGGUUUCGAAAGAAACUCGUAUAUAGAGAUGAAGAAAUCUGUCUAGAAACCCAAAGAUCGUAGCAAAUACAACAUGAUUUUGCUUGAAAUCACACUGGAGUAGCCAAGAACAGGCGGGUGACAAACCCUAGAUGCACGUUGGCAUGGACCUGGGCUCUUUAAGACCUUAGAGAAGGCAAGCAUGGCAUGAGAGGAGCUACUGGAGGCUUAAGAGACGAUGAGAGGUCACACAUGGUAGGUCAACUGUUGAAGAUUAGGGUUAGGUUGAGAGUGUUUUGAGAGCAGAGAGGAUUUUAGUGCGGCGGUGUGUAGAGAAAUAGUUAGGGUUAAGGGCCAUUUAGAAUUAAAAAAGGAAAUAAUGAACGAGGGUCAUUGAACUUUUAGAUCAACAACUAGGAUCUGAUGAUUUUUAUGUCGCGUAGGUGCAUUUAAGGCCCGAGUAGGGUUAUUUAAUCUGCAAUUGGGCUGGGAUAUUAGAUUGAAUUAAGGCUA
This 627-nucleotide long non-coding RNA is filed under the name Nicotiana benthamiana. RNAcentral describes it as "long non-coding RNA (NBEN_LNC019907)". The record is from RNAcentral. Lineage: Eukaryota; Viridiplantae; Streptophyta; Magnoliopsida; Solanales; Solanaceae.